GCGAGCGGCGGAUGGGUGAGUAACACGUGGGGAACCUGCCCCUAAGUCUGGGAUACCAUUUGGAAACAGGUGCUAAUACCGGAUAAUAAAGCAGAUCGCAUGAUCAGCUUUUGAAAGGCGGCGUAAGCUGUCGCUAAGGGAUGGCCCCGCGGUGCAUUAGCUAGUUGGUAAGGUAACGGCUUACCAAGGCGACGAUGCAUAGCCGAGUUGAGAGACUGAUCGGCCACAUUGGGACUGAGACACGGCCCAAACUCCUACGGGAGGCAGCAGUAGGGAAUCUUCCACAAUGGACGCAAGUCUGAUGGAGCAACGCCGCGUGAGUGAAGAAGGUUUUCGGAUCGUAAAGCUCUGUUGUUGGUGAAGAAGGAUAGAGGUAGUAACUGGCCUUUAUUUGACGGUAAUCAACCAGAAAGUCACGGCUAACUACGUGCCAGCAGCCGCGGUAAUACGUAGGUGGCAAGCGUUGUCCGGAUUUAUUGGGCGUAAAGCGAGCGCAGGCGGAAAAAUAAGUCUAAUGUGAAAGCCCUCGGCUUAACCGAGGAACUGCAUCGGAAACUGUUUUUCUUGAGUGCAGAAGAGGAGAGUGGAACUCCAUGUGUAGCGGUGGAAUGCGUAGAUAUAUGGAAGAACACCAGUGGCGAAGGCGGCUCUCUGGUCUGCAACUGACGCUGAGGCUCGAAAGCAUGGGUAGCGAACAGGAUUAGAUACCCUGGUAGUCCAUGCCGUA
Molecule: ribosomal RNA, 727 nt
Filed under: uncultured bacterium
Lineage: Bacteria
Description: bacterial SSU rRNA
Rfam family: Bacterial small subunit ribosomal RNA
Source: RNAcentral